GACGAACGCUGGCGGCGUGCUUAACACAUGCAAGUCGAACGGAAAGGCCCUGCUUUUGUGGGGUGCUCGAGUGGCGAACGGGUGAGUAACACGUGAGUAACCUGCCCUUGACUUUGGGAUAACUUCAGGAAACUGGGGCUAAUACCGGAUAGGAGCUCCUGCUGCAUGGUGGGGGUUGGAAAGUUUCGGCGGUUGGGGAUGGACUCGCGGCUUAUCAGCUUGUUGGUGGGGUAGUGGCUUACCAAGGCUUUGACGGGUAGCCGGCCUGAGAGGGUGACCGGCCAUAUUGGGCAUGAGAUACGGCCCAGACUCCUACGGGAGGCAGCAGGGGGGAAUAGUGCACAAUGGGAGGAAGCCUGAUGCAGCAACGCCGCGUGCGGGAUGACGGCCUUCGGGUUGUAAACCGCUUUCGCCUGUGACGAAGCGUGAGUGACGGUAAUGGGUAAAGAAGCACCGGCUAACUCCGUG
RNAcentral lists this ribosomal RNA (468 nucleotides) under uncultured bacterium. RNAcentral's name for it is "partial 16S ribosomal RNA". It matches the Rfam family "Bacterial small subunit ribosomal RNA", at positions 28 to 507 of the family's 1533-position model. The record is from RNAcentral.